Molecule: ribosomal RNA, 465 nt
Filed under: uncultured bacterium
Lineage: Bacteria
Description: partial 16S ribosomal RNA
Rfam family: Bacterial small subunit ribosomal RNA
Source: RNAcentral
GACGAACGCUGGCGGCGUGCUUAACACAUGCAAGUCGUACGGUAAGGCCCUUUCGGGGGUCCACGAGUGGCGAACGGGUGCGUAACACGUGAGUAACCUGCCCACAACUUUGGGAUAACGCUAGGAAACUGGUGCUAAUACUGGAUAUGUGCUCCUGCUGCAUGGUGGGGGUUGGAAAGCUCCGGCGGUUGUGGAUGGACUCGCGGCCUAUCAGCUUGUUGGUGGGGUAGUGGCCUACCAAGGCGGCGACGGGUAGCCGGCCUGAGAGGGUGACCGGCCACAUUGGGACUGAGAUACGGCCCAGACUCCGACGGGAGGCAGCAGUGGGGAAUAUUGCACAAUGGGCGCAAGCCUGAUGCAGCAACGCCGCGUGCGGGAUAACGGCCUUCGGGUUGUAAACCGCGUUCAGCAGGGACGAAGCUUUUUGUGACGGUACCUGCAGAAGAAGCACCGGCUAACUACGUG